Molecule: transfer RNA, 84 nt
Filed under: Actinomycetes bacterium
Lineage: Bacteria; Bacillati; Actinomycetota; Actinomycetes
Also listed under: 4 other names
Description: tRNA-Leu
Rfam family: tRNA
About the family: Transfer RNA (tRNA) molecules are approximately 80 nucleotides in length. Their secondary structure includes four short double-helical elements and three loops (D, anti-codon, and T loops). Further hydrogen bonds mediate the characteristic L-shaped molecular structure. tRNAs have two regions of fundamental functional importance: the anti-codon, which is responsible for specific mRNA codon recognition, and the 3' end, to which the tRNAs corresponding amino acid is attached (by aminoacyl-tRNA synthetases). tRNAs cope with the degeneracy of the genetic code in two manners: having more than one tRNA (with a specific anti-codon) for a particular amino acid; and 'wobble' base-pairing, i.e. permitting non-standard base-pairing at the 3rd anti-codon position.
Source: RNAcentral
GCGGAAGUGGUGGAACGGCAGACACGCUGGUUUUAGGUACCAGUGCCCUCGGGCGUGCGGGUUCAACUCCCGCCUUCCGCACCA